UGACCCGGCGGGAGCGAUAA
RNAcentral lists this unclassified non-coding RNA (20 nucleotides) under Mus musculus (house mouse). RNAcentral describes it as "oocyte_clustered_small_RNA11888". The record is from RNAcentral. Lineage: Eukaryota; Metazoa; Chordata; Mammalia; Rodentia; Muridae.